GGAGUCACGCCAGAAAUCUUACCCGGAGAGACAGCAGAAUGAAGGUCAAGCUGAAGACUUUACCAGACAAGCUGAGAGGUGGUGCAUGGCCGUCGCCAGCUCGUGCCGUGAGAUGUCCUGUUAAGUCAGGUAACGAGCGAGAUCCCUGCCUCUAGUUGCCACCAUUACUCUCAGGAGUAGUGGGGCGAAUUAGCGGGACCGCCGCAGUUAAUGCGGAGGAAGGAAGGGGCCACGGCAGGUCAGUAUGCCCCGAAACUCUGGGGCCACACGCGGGCUGCAAUGGUAGCGACAAUUGGUUUCGAAUCCGAAAGGAUGAGGUAAUCCACAAACGCUACCACAGUUAUGACUGAGGGCUGCAACUCGCCCUCACGAAUAUGGAAUCCCUAGUAACUGCGUGUCAUUAUCGCGCGGUGAAUACGUCCCUGCUCCUUGCACACACCGCCCGUCGUUUCAUUGAAGUGAGCUUUUAGCGAGGUGACGUCUGAUUGGCGUUAUCAAACUUGAGGUUCGUGACAAGGGAAAAGUCGUAACAAGGUGACCGUAGGGGAACCUGCGGUCGGAUCA
RNAcentral lists this ribosomal RNA (564 nucleotides) under uncultured crenarchaeote. RNAcentral's name for it is "bacterial SSU rRNA". It matches the Rfam family "Archaeal small subunit ribosomal RNA", at positions 908 to 1472 of the family's 1478-position model. Lineage: Archaea; Thermoproteati; Thermoproteota. The record is from RNAcentral.